RNAcentral lists this ribosomal RNA (446 nucleotides) under uncultured bacterium. Its description in RNAcentral is "partial 16S ribosomal RNA". It matches the Rfam family "Bacterial small subunit ribosomal RNA", at positions 338 to 795 of the family's 1533-position model. The record is from RNAcentral.
CCUACGGGUGGCAGCAGUCGCGAAUCAUUCACAAUGGGGGAAACCCUGAUGGUGCGACGCCGCGUGGGGGACUGAAGGUCUUCGGAUUGUAAACCCCUGUCAUGUGGGAGCAAAUUAAAAAGAUAGUACCACAAGAGGAAGAGACGGCUAACUCUGUGCCAGCAGCCGCGGUAAUACAGAGGUCUCAAGCGUUGUUCGGAAUCACUGGGCGUAAAGCGUGCGUAGGCUGUUUCGUAAGUCGUGUGUGAAAGGCGCGGGCUCAACCCGCGGACGGCACAUGAUACUGCGAGACUAGAGUAAGGGAGGGGGAACCGGAAUUCUCGGUGUAGCAGUGAAAUGCGUAGAUAUCGAGAGGAACACUCGUGGCGAAGGCGGGUGCCUGGACAUUAACUGACGCUGAGGCACGAAGGCCAGGGGAGCGAAAGGGAUUAGAUACCCUUGUAGUC